GGCCAGACUCCUACGGGAGGCAGCAGUGAGGAAUAUUGGUCAAUGGCCGGAAGGCUGAACCAGCCAAGUCGCGUGAGGGAAUAAGGCCCUAUGGGUCGUAAACCUCUUUUGUCAGGGAGCAAAGGCGUCCACGAGUGGACGAAAGGAGAGUACCUGAAGAAAAAGCAUCGGCUAACUCCGUGCCAGCAGCCGCGGUAAUACGGAGGAUGCGAGCGUUAUCCGGAUUUAUUGGGUUUAAAGGGUGCGUAGGCGGGAUGCCAAGUCAGCGGUCAAAUACGGGGGCUCAACCGGCGUCCGCCGUUGAAACUGGCGUUCUUGAGUGGGCGAGAAGUACGCGGAAUGCGUGGUGUAGCGGUGAAAUGCAUAGAUAUCACGCAGAACCCCGAUUGCGAAGGCAGCGUACCGGCGCCCAACUGACGCUGAAGCACGAAAGCGUGGGUAUCGAACAGGAUUAGAUACCCUGGUAUC
RNAcentral lists this ribosomal RNA (468 nucleotides) under uncultured bacterium. RNAcentral's name for it is "bacterial SSU rRNA". It matches the Rfam family "Bacterial small subunit ribosomal RNA", at positions 329 to 795 of the family's 1533-position model. The record is from RNAcentral.